RNAcentral lists this non-coding RNA (226 nucleotides) under Jeotgalibacillus malaysiensis. Its description in RNAcentral is "T-box sequence". It matches the Rfam family "T-box leader". From Rfam's summary of the family: Uncharged tRNA acts as the effector for transcription antitermination of genes in the T-box leader family. T-boxes are found upstream of many aminoacyl-tRNA synthetase genes and some amino acid biosynthetic genes usually in Gram-positive bacteria. Lineage: Bacteria; Bacillati; Bacillota; Bacilli; Caryophanales; Caryophanaceae. The record is from RNAcentral.
UUAAAGGCACUGACAGGGACACGAAUCAUUUAAAGCUGAUUAAUAGAGAGAGAGGACACCGGCUGAAAUCCUCUUAUGAAGCAAAAUGUAUUUACCACCCUCGAGCCGUAUGAGUGAACACUUUAGUAAUUCGUACCGGAUGCAGCCCGUUAGCUGAACCAGAGAUUCUGGACGUUUGUUCAGAAAGAAGGGUGGAACCGCGGGUUAAUAUAACUCCGUCCCUUUA